This 604-nucleotide ribosomal RNA is filed under the name uncultured bacterium. RNAcentral describes it as "bacterial SSU rRNA". It matches the Rfam family "Bacterial small subunit ribosomal RNA", at positions 338 to 957 of the family's 1533-position model. The record is from RNAcentral.
CCUACGGGAGGCAGCAGUGGGGAAUAUUGGACAAUGGGCGAAAGCCUGAUCCAGCAAUGCCGCGUGAGUGAUGAAGGCCUUCGGGUCGUAAAGCUCUUUUACCAGGGAUGAUAAUGACAGUACCUGGAGAAUAAGCUCCGGCUAACUCCGUGCCAGCAGCCGCGGUAAUACGGAGGGAGCUAGCGUUGUUCGGAAUUACUGGGCGUAAAGAGUACGUAGGCGGUUAUUCAAGUCAGAGGUGAAAGCCCGGGGCUCAACCCCGGAACUGCCUUUGAAACUAGAUAACUAGAGUCUUGGAGAGGUUAGUGGAAUUCCGAGUGUAGAGGUGAAAUUCGUAGAUAUUCGGAAGAACACCAGUGGCGAAGGCGACUAACUGGACAAGUACUGACGCUGAGGUACGAAAGCGUGGGGAGCAAACAGGAUUAGAUACCCUGGUAGUCCACGCCGUAAACGAUGAUAACUAGUUNUUCGGUCACUUGGUGACUGAGUGACGCAGCUACGCAUUAAGUUAUCCGUCCGUCGGGUAGGUACGGUCGCGAGAAUUAAACUACAAUAGAAUUAGUACGGCGUGAGACGUGCCGACGGACGACGACGAGGGAGUAGG